RNAcentral lists this ribosomal RNA (448 nucleotides) under uncultured bacterium. RNAcentral's name for it is "SSU rRNA". It matches the Rfam family "Bacterial small subunit ribosomal RNA", at positions 26 to 518 of the family's 1533-position model. The record is from RNAcentral.
AGAGCGAACGCUGGCGGCAGGCUUAACACAUGCAAGUCGAGCGGGCGUAGCAAUACGUCAGCGGCAGACGGGUGAGUAACGCGUGGGAACGUACCUUUUGGUUCGGAACAACCCAGGGAAACUUGGGCUAAUACCGGAUAAGCCCUUACGGGGAAAGAUUUAUCGCCGAAAGAUCGGCCCGCGUCUGAUUAGCUAGUUGGUGAGGUAAUGGCUCACCAAGGCGACGAUCAGUAGCUGGUCUGAGAGGAUGAUCAGCCACAUUGGGACUGAGACACGGCCCAAACUCCUACGGGAGGCAGCAGUGGGGAAUAUUGGACAAUGGGCGCAAGCCUGAUCCAGCCAUGCCGCGUGAGUGAUGAAGGCCCUAGGGUUGUAAAGCUCUUUUGUGCGGGAAGAUAAGUGACGGUACCGCAAGAAUAAGCCCGGCUAACUUCGCGCCAGCAGCCGC